UAAAUAAAAAUUAUAUUAAAUAAAAGUUUAUAUUAUAAUUAAUAAAAAUAAUUUUAAAAUUAAAAGUUUUUGUAUAUUUUAUAGAUAAAAUAAUUUAAAUAAUAGUAAAAAGUAUAGUAAUAGAAAUUUGAAAUAUAAUUAAUUAAUAAAAAAGUAAUUUUAAUUUAAUGUACCUUUUGUAUCAGGGUUUAUUAAAAAUAGUCUAAUAAAAUUAGGUAUCUCGAAUUUAAAAGAGCUAAAUUAUUAUUAAAUUUAUUGUAUUAAAAAUAUUUUAAAUAAUAAUUUAGUAAUGAAAAGUUAAUCGUUUUUAAAUAUAUCUAGUUUCUUAAGAAAUGAAUUUAAUUCAUUAUUAAUUUUAUAUAAAUUUAAUUAUAAAAAUUUAUAUAAUUUAAUAAAAAAUUUUUUAGGGAUGAGCUUAAAAAAUUUAUUAUAAAAUAAAUUAAAUUAAAAAGUUAUAGGAUUAGAAAUUUUCAUUAAUAAAAAAAAUGUUAUAAUUUAUUAUUUAUAAAUUUAAAUUUAUAAAUUUUUAAUUUUUAUAUUAAGAUAUUUAAUAUAAUAAUUAUAUUAGAGUAAUAAUGAUAAAAUUAGUAUUAAUUUAUUUAAAAGUAAAAAAUUUAUAAAGAUAAAAAUAAGGAAUUCAGCAAAUUUAAUAUUCACCUGUUUAUCAAAAACAUGUCUUUUUGAAUAUAAUAUAAAGUCUAACCUGCCCACUGAUAAUUAUUAAAGGGCCGCGGUAUUUUGACUGUGCAAAGGUAGCAUAAUCAUUUGUCUUUUAAUUGAAGGCUGGAAUGAAUGGUUGAAUGAAAUAUUAACUGUCUCAUUUUUAAAAAAAUAAAAAUUUAGCUUUUAAGUCAAAAGGCUUAAAUGAUUUUAGAGGACGAGAAGACCCUAUAGAUCUUUAUAUUAAUAAUUUUAUUUUAGGUUAGAAAAAUAAUUAAUAAUAAUAUUAUAAAUAUUUUAUUGGGGUGAUAGGAAAAUUAAAUAAACUUUUCAUAUAUUUAUACAUUGAUUUAUGAAUUUAUGAUCCAAUAAUAUUGAUUAUAAGAUUAAGUUACCUUAGGGAUAACAGCGUAAUUUUUUUAGAGAGUUCUUAUCGAUAAAAAAGAUUGCGACCUCGAUGUUGAAUUAAAAGUUAUUUCUAGAUGCAGAAGUUUAGAGUUUAGGUCUGUUCGACCUUUGAAUUUUUACAUGAUUUGAGUUCAGACCGGUGUGAGCCAGGUCGGUUUCUAUCCUUAAUUUAUAAAAAUAUUUUAGUACGAAAGGACCAAAUAUUGAAAAUAAUUUUUAAUAUAAAGAAUAAUAUUAAUAUUAUAA
This 1314-nucleotide ribosomal RNA is filed under the name Apochrysa matsumurae. RNAcentral's name for it is "16S ribosomal RNA". The stretch from base 1062 to 1221 matches the Rfam family "Archaeal large subunit ribosomal RNA", at positions 2544 to 2703 of the family's 2987-position model. Lineage: Eukaryota; Metazoa; Arthropoda; Insecta; Neuroptera; Chrysopidae. The record is from RNAcentral.